Molecule: ribosomal RNA, 497 nt
Filed under: uncultured bacterium
Lineage: Bacteria
Description: partial 16S ribosomal RNA
Rfam family: Bacterial small subunit ribosomal RNA
Source: RNAcentral
GAUGAACGCUGGCGGCGUGCCUAAUACAUGCAAGUCGAGCGAACGGACGAGAAGCUUGCUUCUCUGAUGUUAGCGGCGGACGGGUGAGUAACACGUGGAUCACCUACCUAUAAGACUGGGAUAACUUCGGGAAACCGGAGCUAAUACCGGAUAAUAUUUUGAACCGCAUGGUUCAAUAGUGAAAGACGGUCUUGCUGUCACUUAUAGAUGGAUCCGCGCUGCAUUAGCUAGUUGGUAAGGUAACGGCUUACCAAGGCAACGAUGCAUAGCCGACCUGAGAGGGUGAUCGGCCACACGGGAGCUGAGACACGGUCCAGGCCCCUACGGGAGGCAGCAGUAGGGAAUGUUCCGCAAUGGGCGAAAGCCUGACAGAGCAAGGCCGCGUGAGUGAUGAAGAUCUUCGGAGCGUAAAACUCUGUUAUUAGGGAAGAACAGAUGUGUAAGUAACUGUGCAGAUCUUGACGGUACCUAGUCAGAAAGCCACGGCUAACUACGUG